Molecule: non-coding RNA, 5255 nt
Organism: Oryctolagus cuniculus (rabbit)
Lineage: Eukaryota; Metazoa; Chordata; Mammalia; Lagomorpha; Leporidae
Source: RefSeq, a predicted model, not a curated record
CUUGGUCACAAACAAGAAGUCAGGAGAUUAAAAAAGCAGACAGCCUUCCAAAAAUGUCCCAAGGAAAGGAAUUAAGCAUUUCCACAGCAGAUAGCUUAAUCCUUCCGAAUCUGGAAUCUCUCCGACUCUGGCGGGCUCAGGGCUGUUCCUCUGUUCUGAGUGGAGGGGGAAGCCAGCCGACCCUAAAUACCGGCAGCGUGUUAGGUGGGCAGCGUACCAGGUGGGCAGCGCGUCCUUUACCACCACAGCCGUCAAUCGGCCGUUCCAGCACAGCAGGCACAAUGGGCCUCCCUGCUUCCUCAGAGACCUAAAGGAUCUCAAGUGCCGUGCGGUAAGCAGAGCCUUGCUCCAGCAUCAGAAGGAUCUGGGUUGAAUUCCCAAAUCCCCACUCAUUUGUUAGCUGGUGCUCUUUCGGGCCCCAUUAUUUUCUAGCUAUGAAAUGGAGAUAAAUAACAAUCCCGACCCUUACAGAAGUGCCUUGAGAUUUUCAAUGAAACACGACACAGAACACAGCAGCACAGAGCCCGGCCCACCGCAGGCUCCCAAUACCCGUCAGCUGCUCCUACUUGUGGACUCUCCAACUCUUCCGAGGGGCCCUGGCCCCUGAGCCAAAGACUCUGUUGACUUCUGUUCUCCUCCCCCUCGCUCCGCCCAGACUCUGACUUCUGCCUAGACAAAGACGGAUCUUUGUGUCCCCAGAGCCUGGCUUAGUGCCUGACACUUAGAGGGGACUUAAUAAUGCUGGGGAGGAAAAAUAGGGAGUGGGUGCCGGCACUGUGGCAUAGUGGAUAAAGCCGCGCCCUGAGAUGUCAGCAUCCCAAAUGGGCACCGGCUCAAGUCUUGGCUGCUCCACUUGGAUCCAGCUCCCUGCUAAUGUGCCUAGGAAAGGAGUAGAAGAUGGCCCAAGUACUUGAACCCCUGCCCCUACAUGAGAGACCCGGAUGAGGCUCCUGGCUCCUGGCUUCAGAUUGGCCCAGCUGUGCCCAUUGUGGUCAUUUGGGGAGUGAACCAGCAGAUGGAACAUCUCUCUUUCUCUCUCUCUCCCUCUCCCUUCUCCCUGUAACUCUGCCUUUCAAAAUAAAUCUUAAAAAACAAAGGAGGAGGGGAGUGAAAAAGAAAGGAAAGAAACCUAGCAACGAGAUGACUCCUCCAGGGGUGGGGUCCUCAGAGCCUCAUAAGGAGAACCCAGGAGCAACUAUUUGGCACAGCAGUUAAGAUGCCCACGUUCCAGGACAGAGCAGCCAGGGUUCAAGUCUCAGCUCCACUCCGGAUACCAAUUUCCUGCUAAUGCUCACCCUGCGAGGCAGCAGGUGGUGGUGGUUCAAGGAGUUGGGUCCCUGCCACCUGCUUGGGACAACUGGAUUGAGUUCCAGGUUAGUGAUUUCAGCCUGGCCCAUCCCUAAAUAUUGUGGGCAUUUCGAGAGUGAACCAGCAGACAGGAGAUCUACACCUCUACUCCCACUAUUAAAUAAAUAAAUAAACAAACAAACAAAUAAAUAAGUUAAAAAUAAAAGGAAUCCCAGCUUCAGCAGAGGAUAACGAAGUGAAAACCCCUCCGCAGAAGAGGAGGCCAUUGGGAGGAGAGGAAACAUCAGCUUUGUCUCCAUGUCCAAGGCUGGAGUUGCUGUGGGACCGGUUUGCAUGUCAGCAGUCAUGCACCAAGGGAUGCCUGUGUGAACUGAGGGUGCCCUGCAACACAUGCAGAGGGCAGGGCUCACAGGCCACGACGCUGCAGCCUUGGGCAGAAGGCGAAGAUCUGGGACAAAGAAGUUGGGCAGGCCGAAAGGCGCCAGCCUGAAUGCUUCGGAAUGACUGCAGAGACCAGGCUGUCCUGAUUCUAAAAGGAAGGGCGAGGAAAUUCUGCCUGUACCUGCAGAGUGAAAGACACUUUGGAGGCAAAAUGAGCUCACCUAGACCUACCUGGGCAUCAUUGAAGGGAAGGCAUCCCGCGGCAGCCAGGAGGAAGAGGGCACUGUGGAGAGGGAGAUAAAACACGGCGGCUUUACCGUUCAGCAUCAAAUCAUUUCCCAGAGCGUGUGGAGGCUGAAGUGCAAAGACCUCACGAGACCAACCCAGUUCCUCCGUUCAUCCUCUUGAGAACCCCACUCCCUGCAUGCUUUUCAUCAUGUGUGCAUCGCUGACAACCAGACAUUUCCCAGUCAGGGAUCACGUGAGAAGCACGAUUGGCUCACCUGAGAUCCACAGUCUAUGAGACAUCUAGUAAAAUCAGACUGUUUUCAUUUCAACCCCUGAUCCCCAAAAAUGCACGAGUGGAAAACAGGUCAUCAGACCACUAGGAUGCCAGUUACAAAAAUGAUGCCCUGGAAUGUGCACUAAACCCUUUGUACACCUCCUGAGCCCCACCUUCAAGCUUCCUAUCUCCAGUCAUGGGACAGAACGAAUCAUGUGCCUCCUGCUAUGGUGCACUCCGAAGGACACAAUGCCACUCACUCGUGUGCUCCUCCUGCCAACAUGUGGAACCUGAAUUGAAUCAUGAGAGAAUGCUGAGACACAACCAAAUUUAGGGACAGCCCAUAAAACUAUGCACCUCUGCCCUCCACAAAUGUGAAUGCAGUGAAAGAAAUGAAAGACCAAAGAACUCUUCUAGAUGAAAGGCUAAUGAAGAAACAUGGACACUUUAGAAGGAAAAGCGGGGCAGUGUUAGGGUAACUGGCAAAACUUGACCAGGGGCUCAAUGUUUGAUAAAAGUAUUAUAUCAGAUGUUAAUCUUCUAAAUGUAAUCAUUGCACUGUGUUUCUAUACAAGAUUGUUUUUAGGAAACAGACUUGGAAGCAUUCAGGGGUAGGGUCAAGAUCUGCAAUUUAUUCUAAAAUGAUACAUAAAGAAUAAGAGUAAGACUAAUAAUAAAUAUGAGCCUUCCCUCCAUUACUACAGGGCAAUGGAUCUGAGACCCCUCACAGAUACCAAAAUCCACAGAUGCUCAAGUCCCUUAUAUAAAGAAAAUGGUGUAGUAGUUGCGCAUAACCUACACACAUUCUCCUUACACUUUAAAUUAUCUCUAGAUACCCAAUACAAGGCAACUGCUAUGUAAAAAGUUAUUAAAUUAUUUAAGAGAUAAAAUGAAAAAAAUAAGUCAGUUUAAAAGGCAGUUCAGUACAGACGCAAUUUUUUCCUCAAAUAUUUUUGAUCCUCAGUUCAUUGAAUCUGUGGGUGGAGAACCCAGGGAUAUGGAAGACCAACUGGCUUUUCUUAUGUAUGUUGUAUGCUAUUUAUGUAUGUUUAUACAUAUACACACAUAUGGAGUGAACAAGAAAGCCAAUGCAGAAAUGUUAUCAGGGGGUGGAUCUAGUCAACAGUAUAGCAGCCAUUGUAAUUUUAAUUCUUAAAAUUUUUCUAUAGGUACAAAUUUUUUCUCAGAUUUAAAAAAAGUAUAAUUAGCAUCAUCUUUUUUUUUUUUUUAUUUGACAGGUAGAGUUAUAGACAGUGAGAGAGAGACAGACAGAAAGGUCUUCCUUCCAUUGGUUCACUCUCCUAAUGGCCACUAUGGCCAGCACUGAGCCAAUCCGAAGCCAGGAGCUGGGUGCUUCCUCCCCGUCUCCCAUGCAGGUGCAGGGCCCAAGCACUUGGGCCAUCCUCCACUGCCCUCCCGGGCCACAGCAGAGAGCUGGACUGGAAGAGGAGCCACCGGGACUAGUAUCCAGUGCCCCAACCAGGACUAGAACCCGGGAUGCCGGCGCCAUAGGUGGAGGAUUAGCCUCGUGAGCCACGGCGCCGGCCAGCAUCAUCUCUUCUACAUACUGAAAUUUCUACAGAGGAGAUGGGAUGGUGCCUGAGCCUUGCUUUCAAACAACACUGGAAUAUGGGAGAUGGGGCUUCAUUACAUUCUUCCAUCUACUUUUCUGUUUAUUUUGAGAUUUCCACCAAAAAAAACACAUUUAACCUGUUGGAGUGAGGUGGACACUAUGGGAAACGGUGGCUUGAUCAGCAUAGCCCUGACUGUUAAUGAACAACUUAAUACAUUAUCCCUCUUAGUAGUUUUUUUGUCUGUUCUACUUAAUAUGACUGGUUUAGUUCUGUAAUUGAUGCACAGUUAUUCUUAAGUGUUGAAAAUUAACUGAAAUGUGAUCCCUGUUGAACAUGGGAGUGGGAAUGGGAGAGGGAAGAGAUGUAUAAUUUGGGACAUGCUCAGGCUGACUUGCCCCAAGUGGUGGAGUUGGAAGCAUACCAGGGGAUUCCAAUUCAAUCCCAUCGAGGUGGCAUGUACCAAUGCCAUCUCACUGUUCCAGGUGAUCAAUUUCAGUUCACAGUUGGUCAUGGUGGAGGGACUGGGAGUCAAAGGGAGCACAUAGACAAGUCUAGUACCUGCUAACGCUAACCGAUGGAGUAAAUAAAGGGGAGAGUGAUCCAACAUGGGAAGUGAGAUACUCAGCAGACUCAUAGAAUGGCAGAUGUCCUAAAUAGCACUCUGGCCUCAGAAUCAGCCCUAAAGGCAUUCAGAUCUGGCUGAAAAGCCCAUGAGAGUAUUUCAGGCAUGGAAAGCCAAGACACUCUGGCAAAAGAUCUCUGCGAGUGAGAUCCCAGUGGAAAGAACAGGUCAUCAAAGAAGGAGGUACCUUUCUCUGAAGGAAAGAGAGAACCUCCACUUUGAAUAUGACCUUGUCUAAACAAGAUAAGAGUCGGAGAACUCAGAGGGCUUCCACAGCCUUGGAAACUCAUGACUGGAGCAUAGGGAGACUACUGAUGCCAUAGACAGGAGUGUCAAUUGGUAAAGUCAACAACAGGAGUCACUGUGCACUUACUCCUCAUGUAGGAUCUCUAUCCUUAAUGUGCUGUGCAUUGAGAUUUAAUGCUAUAACGAGUACUCAAACAAUAUAUUUCACUUUGUGUUUCUAUGGGGGUGCAAACUGUUGAAAUCCUUACUUAAUGCAUACUAAACUGAUCCUCUGUAAAAAAAAAAAAAGAAAUUAUCAAUUCCCAACUUGACUCUCACUGGGAUUAAACAUGACAAUAGGUCUGAUCUGAUUUCAUCAUCAUUUAAAAAAUCAUCUAUUAUUUUUCACUUUAUGUUUCUGUGUGGGAGCAAACUGUUGAAAUCUUUACUUAAUGUAUGUUAAACUGAUCUUCUGUAUAUAAAGAGAAUCGAAAAUGAAUCCUCAUGUGAAUGGAAGGGGAGAGGGAGUGGGAAAGGGGAGGGAUGCGGGUGGGAGAGACGAUAUGGGGGGGGAAGCCAUUGUAAUCCAUAAGCCGUACUUUGGAAAUUUAUAUUCAUUAAAUAAAAGUUUAAAAAAAAAAAA